GGCCAUGUGAAAUCGGAUAGGUGGAUGAAUGUGGCGUGCUAAGAGUGGCUGGUCAAAAGUCAACUUUUGGUCCAUACUCAAAAUGAAAUGGAAACAAUUGGAAUUUGUAGCUGCUUUGGUGCGUGCGUGUCCCCAGUUCAAACAUGGAUUAUACAUCAUUUACCUUGAGUUUAUCGGCAAUGUAUAACUUAUGAAGUACGAGGAUGUACUUAAAUGAGAUGCAUGAUGUAUUACUAAUCCUCAAACAUGGUAUGUGAAUAUAUGUGAAGAGAAUAAUAUUUGAGGAUUUCAUUUAUACGAGAAGCAAUGAAAUUUAUAUUGUUAAGACACUUCAUAUGUCAGGCAUUGAAAACAUUUGGUAAUAUUGAGAAUUUUUAAGUGAUGUGAUCAUGAAAGGGAGAAGAUACACGUUGCACUCUUUUUCCUUUGAGCAAGGCUUUGUCCCACUGGGUUUUCCUGUCAAGAUUUUUAAUGAGGCAACAUCCCUAAGCGUAUCAAAAGAAUUAUGUACUAUUUUCCCUUCACUAGAAUUUUGUCCCAUUGGGUUUUAUCUAGUAAGGUUUUAAUGAGGCAUAAUGUCUUUAGUCGAUGGACAUCCAAGUGGGAGUGUUAUAAAUAUUAUAUAUGGAAUGGAUGUCCAUAUAUUGAAUGGUAAUCUUUACUAUGAUUAGGAGAUUGUUUUCUUAGAGGAUACUCCAGCUUGUAACUAUAUAUACCUUUUUAUGAGAUGAAUAAAAGAAAUCUUUCUCUCUA
Erigeron canadensis is the source of this 753-nucleotide long non-coding RNA. RefSeq lists it as uncharacterized. The record is from RefSeq and is a predicted model, not a curated record. The transcript has 2 exons. Lineage: Eukaryota; Viridiplantae; Streptophyta; Magnoliopsida; Asterales; Asteraceae.